GAGAAAAAAAGCGACAAAAAAGAAUAAUGGCGACCUCUGUAAGUGUAUAGUCGAUCAGAUUCAAACAAAGUUUUUAAGAAAAGACGUAAGGAGGUAUGACUUAAACUAGCCUACAUAUAAAAGCGCCGUUAAAAACAAUUGAAAACGACAAUUUCGUGUUUAUUGUGUUUUAAUUUCACGUAAAAACAACCCAAAUGAAACGCAAAAACAAUUUUAAAAAUAAUACAUGUUUCUCUUUAUCCUACAUAUAUGAAAGGGUCUUAAAUCUUCGAAAAUAGUGACGAAACCUGAACGCAAGUUUAUGCUGAACUGUUACUAAUGAGUAUAUCCAAUCGAUCGUCCAAAAUAUUUAAGCUUUAUGUUUCAGAUAAUACAUUAUAAAAACACAAAAAAUAAGCAUAACUACAUUGCGUCUCAUGUUUAAAAUUUCAGCAAAAUGAAUGCACACCAGUAGUUGGUCCGGAGUUAAAGGAAGGUCUUGACUAAAAAUAAUUCCACGUUUUUAUUAAUAGGUAAUUCAGAUAUUUGAAGUUCAUGCAAUUGUAAAGCGUAAUGUUUCAGACAAAAAAUAGAGGAAUCAUAACUGCAUUGUCAAUCAUGUAUUGAAAUUUCGGCAAACCGUACGGCAAAUACAAAAAAAAAAUAUAAUAACCAGGG
Molecule: long non-coding RNA, 657 nt
Filed under: Mytilus galloprovincialis (Mediterranean mussel)
Lineage: Eukaryota; Metazoa; Mollusca; Bivalvia; Mytilida; Mytilidae
Source: RNAcentral